Molecule: ribosomal RNA, 498 nt
Filed under: uncultured bacterium
Lineage: Bacteria
Description: partial 16S ribosomal RNA
Rfam family: Bacterial small subunit ribosomal RNA
Source: RNAcentral
AUUGAACGCUGGCGGAAUGCUUUACACAUGCAAGUCGAACGGUAACAGGUCUUCGGAUGCUGACGAGUGGCGAACGGGUGAGUAAUAUAUCGGAACGUGCCCAGUCGUGGGGGAUAACGUAGCGAAAGUUACGCUAAUACUGCAUACGAUCUACGGAUGAAAGCGGGGGAUCGCAAGACCUCGCGCGAUUGGAGCGGCCGAUAUCAGAUUAGGUAGUUGGUGGGGUAAAGGCUCACCAAGCCAACGAUCUGUAGCUGGUCUGAGAGGACGACCAGCCACACUGGAACUGAGACACGGUCCAGACUCCUACGGGAGGCAGCAGUGGGGAAUUUUGGACAAUGGACGCAAGUCUGAUCCAGCCAUUCCGCGUGCAGGAUGAAGGCCCUCGGGUUGUAAACUGCUUUUGUACAGAACGAAAAGGCUCUUCCUAAUACGAGGGGCUCAUGACGGUACUGUAAGAAUAAGCACCGGCUAACUACGUGCCAGCAGCCGCAGUAA